ACUGUCUUUUCAGAGAAAAUAACUCCACUAGUCGCUCCUUAGAUGGCUGCUAUUGGUGCUUCCUGGGGCAGUACUGCCUAGUGUGCAGCACUGCCAUCUAGUGUCUCCAUCCUCUGCAUGCAGACACUGAACUUUCCUCAUAGAGAUGCAUUGAUUCAAUUUAUCUUUAUGAGGAGAUGCUGAGGGUCUGGCUCUGCCCCCGAUCUGCCUAGUUGACAGUCUCAGCCAAUCCUAUGGGGAAGUAUUGUAAUUUGCUCAGACCACCACUUCUGAUCCAGCAGCUGCAGAAUUGAAUACAAGUAAUAUUUUACUAUAUUUAGG
Non-coding RNA from Pelobates cultripes (western spadefoot toad), 321 nucleotides. The record is from the annotation of a GenBank genome assembly. NCBI's taxonomy places the organism in Eukaryota, Metazoa, Chordata, Amphibia, Anura, Pelobatidae.